AGCAGAGAUGCUUUGGUGCCUUCGGGAACUCUGAGACAGGUGCUGCAUGGCUGUCGUCAGCUCGUGUUGUGAAAUGUUGGGUUAAGUCCCGCAACGAGCGCAACCCUUAUCCUUUGUUGCCAGCGGCUCGGCCGGGAACUCAAAGGAGACUGCCGGUGAUAAACCGGAGGAAGGUGGGGAUGACGUCAAGUCAUCAUGGCCCUUACGGCCAGGGCUACACACGUGCUACAAUGGCGCAUACAAAGAGAAGCGACCUCGCGAGAGCAAGCGGACCUCAUAAAGUGCGUCGUAGUCCGGAUUGGAGUCUGCAACUCGACUCCAUGAAGUCGGAAUCGCUAGUAAUCGUAGAUCAGAAUGCUACGGUGAAUACGUUCCCGGGCCUUGUACACACCGCCCGUCACACCAUGGGAGUGGGUUGCAAAAGAAGUAGGUAGCUUAACCUUCGGGAGGGCGCUUACCACUUUGUGAUUCAUGACUGGGGUGAAGUCGUAACAAGGUAGGCGUAGCGAG
Molecule: ribosomal RNA, 510 nt
Filed under: uncultured bacterium
Lineage: Bacteria
Description: bacterial SSU rRNA
Rfam family: Bacterial small subunit ribosomal RNA
Source: RNAcentral